Molecule: ribosomal RNA, 388 nt
Filed under: Rhizobium ruizarguesonis
Lineage: Bacteria; Pseudomonadati; Pseudomonadota; Alphaproteobacteria; Hyphomicrobiales; Rhizobiaceae
Description: partial 23S ribosomal RNA
Rfam family: Bacterial large subunit ribosomal RNA
Source: RNAcentral
CGUUGAAAUACCACCCUGGUGCGUUUGAGGUUCUAACCCAGGUCCCUUAUCGGGAUCGGGGACAGUGCAUGGUAGGCAGUUUGACUGGGGCGGUCUCCUCCCAAAGCGUAACGGAGGAGUUCGAAGGUACGCUAGUUACGGUCGGACAUCGUGACGAUAGUGCAAUGGCAUAAGCGUGCUUAACUGCGAGACUGACAAGUCGAGCAGAUGCGAAAGCAGGACAUAGUGAUCCGGUGGUUCUGUAUGGAAGGGCCAUCGCUCAACGGAUAAAAGGUACUCUGGGGAUAACAGGCUGAUACCGCCCAAGAGUUCAUAUCGACGGCGGUGUUUGGCACCUCGAUGUCGGCUCAUCUCAUCCUGGGGCUGUAGCCGGUCCCAAGGGUAUGGC